This 7763-nucleotide long non-coding RNA is filed under the name Panax ginseng (ginseng). RNAcentral's name for it is "long non-coding RNA (PGIN_LNC016347)". The record is from RNAcentral. Lineage: Eukaryota; Viridiplantae; Streptophyta; Magnoliopsida; Apiales; Araliaceae.
UAUUUGUUACCCCGUGUGGUAGACAAAUCCUAUGAUCCUAUAUUGAUUUUACCAAGGGUGGUAAGUCAAUGGUCCUAUUGAUCCUGGUCCUAUUUGUCCUAAGGUCACAAUGGUGUAAGGAGGUAUGGUAGGACUCGCUGGCCAUUCGAUGGCAGCCCAUUUAUUGUUCUACCCCGAGUGGUAAACAAAGGUUCUUAUAUACUUGUUCUACCCCGAGCGGUAAACAAGAUCUUGUUGUUGCAAAGAGGGUCAACUGAAUUCACCUCACACAUGACCGAUCUCACACUUUGGUACCGAUGAGUAUAUAUUACUUUAUUUUAUUUAAGUGUUGAGUUCAGUUCAUUCAAUUUAGUUAAGUUAAAUUCUUUCCAUAAAAUUCAAUUCACUUCAUUUCAUAAAUUAACUGUUAUACGCCUUAGCUGAUUCACUAUUUGAGUUCAGUUUAUUGAUACUGAAUUAUUGACAAGAAACUAACCAAAACAGAGUUCACAAUCAAGAAAAUUGAAGAUUCAUCAAUAAAAUAAAACAUUCAUUCAUUCAAUUCAUUCAUAACAUUAACUAAUUACACGAACAUAGAAGCACUGUCAAAAUCCACACAUAAAGUCUCAAAACAAUCCUAAAAAUAUAAACAGUUUAAAUAGUUAAAUUUCUACAUAGUCAGAAUAAAAGCAGGAAGGACAUUCAGGCAUCACCUUCGUCCUCGGAGUUAAGAAGAGCCGGAUCCAGCUGAGCAGCAGAUAACUUUUCUUUACCUCGCUCUCGGCAGUCUUCAUACCCCUCUGAAUAGACCUUCAUGAUUUCGGCAUUAAGCUCAUCUGAAUCCCUGUAUUCCGUUUGAAUCUGCUUUCGCAGCUCUUCGGUCAGAAGAGGGCCCCGUCCCUCAAGUUCUUUUAUUUUGUGACGAAGUUUGUGGCGCUUAGCCUUAUGUCUUCGCUCCUCUUCUCGUCAGUGGUCCAGUUCGGUAAAGAAGAGAUUUCAGGACCUUUGACGAAGAACCACUUCUCGUGCCAUCCCCUAUUGCUCGAAGGAGUGUUCACCAAUGAACGUCUCUUGAACUUUUCUCCCGACUUCGGAGAGUGUUUGCUGAGGGCCUUGAACCCCUUCUCUCUGGAUUGGACGAUCUUGUACACGGUGAAGAAGAAGUCGAGGGAAGGCUCAACGCCCAACUCAUGGCAGAAAGCAACAAAGGCCAGGAUGUGAAUAUAAGAAUUUGGUACCAAUUGGGCGAACCCCACGCCCAGGAACCCCAGUAUAGUCACUAUGAAGACGUGCAGAGGAAAAUGGACCCCCUUCUCAAGCAGGGUCACAGGGACGGCUGUCCAACUCUCUGGCCGUUGGUACAUUUUCUCACCGGAUCUGGGAACCCUAACCGCGUGAGUAUCCGGAAUGUGGUACCAAGAUCGAAUCCUCUUUAAUUCAGCCUCAGUGACAAUAGAGGGAGUGUUGGCAUGUGAGAAAUGAUCCGUAUUCCUAUAGUAUUCAGAAGGAAUUUUGAAGAUUUUUAGAGGAGGAUUCUUGUCGGUUUUCGUUCCUUUGGGGUUCGAGGUCGAGGUUCCUUCGCGAGUGUUAGGGUUUGGUGAAACGGUGUUGAUCGGUGUUACUAGGAGGGGUGAACUUUGUUCAGAAUCUUGGGAAGCCAUUUUUGACAGUUCGCAGAGGAGGACAGAUAGUUCAUAGGAUAAAAAAACUCAAAAGGCGCUCGAAUUUCAAACGGGCAGGUAAAACUGUCAAAUUUGGUGAAAGUUAUCUUUUAUACUGACGGUUACACGGUGUACAAGGCCGACACAUUAAAUGAUAGUAAUGAUUUAGAAUUUGAAUGGGAAGCGUCCGGUUCUGGGUUCAGAUAUUUAUCAGGCAGAGCCUUUCUGCUUUGGGCCUCCGUUCUCCUCUCAUUUCAUCUCAUGAACAAUAACCGGGUACAUUUCGAUUAUUUCUCACUAUGGAAUUUUAGUAAAAUAUCAUGGACCAUUUAUAGUUUUCUAUUAAAUAUUCCGUUCAACAAAAAACUAGGGGGCAAUGUUGGGUUAUGAUAUUCCCCCUCGUUGGGCCGGGUAGAUUGGGCCUACUUAUUUGAUUUGUUCAUUGGGUCUUUAUUAUUGAGUCUUAAAGUUACUGAGCCUAGUUAUUAUAUUAUUCCUGGCGGAUCCUUUUAAGAUCGGGUUGGAUCAGUGGAUCGGCCCAUUAGACAUUUUAAUAUCUCUAUCUUUGACUUGUGAUGAUGAAAAAGGAUGACGGUUGACUAGAACACCUGCCAUGCAUUAAUGUGGAUGGGAUCAUAGCCGGCUGGCGGUAGAAAACAGUGGCCAAAAGUAGUAGAUAGACUACAUGCAGUCGGCAGAACCCAUCAGAUCAUGGGGCUGUGUCAGAUAGUAGUGGGUGGCACGGUAAUCCGGGCAAAGAGAGUAUAACUUAGCAAGGAGGUCUUCACAAACAGGUACGUUAACAUUCACACUCAUAAUCACAUACAUACAACUGAGAAUUAUUAUUUCUCUCAAUACACUAGACAUUACAUCCUCCAUUGUUAACAUUGUGAACACGUAUACUGACUCUCACGCCUGAGCUAUCUCAUGACGGAACAGCCGUCAAGCUUGUGGUGUUUAUCGUGUUUACUGUGCAGGAUCAGGGCGUCUUACGUGAUUGGGAUGUGGCAGAAGAUCUUGGCGUUAACAAUGCUGUAAGUGAACAAAGAGGCUAGUAAUUUGUAAACUUGCAUAGUUUCUGUGGUGUUCAAAUAUAUAGACAUAUAUGUGAUUCUUUUUUCACUAGAAGACAUAUAUAUAUAUAUAUAUAUAUAUAUAUAUAUAUAUAUAUAUAGAGAGAGAGAGAGAGAGAGAGAGAGAGAGAGAACUAGGAUAACAGGCUUAAAAUACGAACCCAAAAUUUUAUUUUAUUUUGGUUUUUUUUAAAACAACUAAAUCUUUUUUUUAAUAUUUUAUGGAACUGAAAUUUUUCCAUAAUACAAUGUUUUGGGCGUAUUUUGGAUACCUAUACCAAAAAAUGUAUGUACAGUCUGCACAGACUGUAAAGACAUGUUUUGUUAUAUGUAUCCAAAUCACACCCAAAACACUGUAUUAUGUAAAAAUUCAAGUUCCAUAAUAAUUUAUUUAUUUUUUUUAGUUGUUUUUUAAAAAAAAAAGCAAAAAAAAUCCGAAUUAUGGUCCGGUCCAAGAGUCCGGACCUGAUCCGGCCUGUCUCUCUCUCUCUCUAUAUAUAUAUAUAUAUAUAAGGAAUGAUUCUUGCUAGGAAUUAAAAAUGGGAAAACACCAUCAUUAGCGUCCAAUACAAGAACGGUCGAGAUUAGAACUGAAAAAUUCACGUCUGUUAUUCUAAUCUCGGCCGUUGAUUCUUAUAUUGAAUGAUAAAGAUGAGGUAUGCUUAUUUUUUAUUCAUAGUAAAUACAUAUAACAUUACCCAUAUAUAUAUAGUGGCCGAUCCAUAGCCAACGUUGUCAACUUAAGGAUAACUUUACAACACAUCCUUAGCGUCCAUCCGAUGAUCUAAUGGUUUAAUAGAUCGUCCACAGUUUAGUUUCCAGUAUUCCGUAAUUUAAUAUUGUGAACGGGAUAAAUGUCCAAAAUACCCUUCUUGCAAAAGUCUCGUUCGCAGUAUUAAACUGCGGACGCUAAGUAUUUUUGGUCAAUUGGGAAACGACAUCGUUUUUUAAUACGUACCGUCCGCAUUAUUAAACUGUGGACGCUAAGUUGACUUUUUUUUUAUAUUCUUCCUUCCUUCCUUCCUUUCUUUCUCCCUUCUUUUUACUCCCCUUACUCCUAUCAUUCACCUCAUGAAAACCAAAACCACUCAAAUAUGAUGAACAUGGUAUAUAUUUUUUAAUAGAGAAUUCAUCUCAAACCAGAAAGUUUUCAAUAAAACAGAAGUCGAAUCUAGUCGCAUGAGAUUUGUCCAGAAGGGGUUCAUACAACUCGGGUUCUACAUCCAUUACUGAUUCAGACUCUCUUGUCACAAUGAUCCCAUCAGAUCCUUUAAUGGAUACAAUAAAAAGAAGAACUGAUAAUGGAAGAAUUACAAUUUAAAUUAUAUCAAACCUAAUUCAGAUUAUGUUUCUGAUUCUCUCUCAAAUAUCAAACCUAAGCCUUCUUAGAUAGAUAUCGUAAAUUGUUUGUUUUUCAGAUUUGGAUUCUGUUUUUUAUUUGGAAUUAUUGCUGAAAGAUCUAUUAUUUGACAUCCGCAGUUUAAUACUGCGAAGCUAAACUAAAGAAAAUUUGAAUUUGGCUUAAAACGGCGUCGUUUCUCAAUUGGCCAGCGUCCACAGUUUAAUACUGCAAACGAGACAACUAAAGAAAAUUUGAAUUUGGCUUUAAAACGACCGUAUCUCAAUUGGCUAACGUCUGCAGUUUAAUAUUGCGGACAAAAGACUUUUAUAAGGAGGGUAUUUUGGACAUUUGUCCUGUCCGCACUAUUAAACUGCGGACGAGGACUUUAUUAACUAUUUGAUCUACAGAUGGAUGCUCACGAUGAGUUGUAAGGAUAAUCUUAAAUUGACAACGUUGUCAAUGUAUCAGUCCCCUAUAUAUAUAUAGAAAAAUGUAUAUACACAGUUGUAUAGUGGUUUUUUUAGGUUAUAGCGACGACGGUUCACCCGUCGCUAUGGCUAUUCUGGUCUAUGGCGACGGGUGAACCGUUGCUAUAGCCCAAAAAAACCGUCGCUAUAAGCGAUUGUGUACUACACAGCUGUGUAUAUAUAUAUAACCCAUACAGGGACGGAGCUACAUGGAUGUUGGAGGGGGCCACGGCCCCCCCAAGGUUUGAAAUUUUUGUAAGAUUCAUCCCAAAGUUUGAAAAUUUUAUAAAAUUCACUUAUACAUUUGGUUUGUUUUGAAAAUUUUGUAAGACUACAGCCCCCAAGUUUUGACGAAGUUUUGAUAUGUUUUAAAAGACUUUUUUUUGCUAUAUUUUAUUAUCUUUGUCAAAGCAAAUUCUAUUACUAUAUUAUUUUUGUUUUAGUAGAAAUAUAUUUUGUAAUAGUGAAAUUUUACUUUUUAGUGAUGAAUAUAUUUUAUGAUGUUAAAAAUUUUUUUGGCCCCCCCAAAGAACAAAUCCUGGCUCCGUCCCUGAACCCAUAUAUAUAUAUACACACACACACUGCUGUAAAAAUAAAUUAUGGACCACAUUUUCAAGGUUAUCAGGGGAGUAGUUGAUGCGUAUCUAUAGUUACCUUUCACUCCUAAUGUGGCUCUUAAACUGCAGUACUGCACUAAAAAGGAUUUAUAAGCUAGAAUCAACUUUUGUGAAUAUUAAGCUAUGCAUGAAGCUGCAAAUAGGAUUCUGAUAAACCUCUUGGAACAUAGCAUUGAAAAUCUUGAAUCUCUCCUUCAAAGCAUAUUCUUUGAAAUACCAUUACAAAAAAUCUUAUAGUUCCUCAUCUCUGAAACAAUACAAGACCAUGUCCCCUGAUCCAAGAUAUCUUUGCUCAACUUUGUUAGGUCAUCCUCCUCAAUCAUAUCCAAAGACCCUUUAAUUUCCUCAACAAUAUAGUGGAUAUUAUUCAUGAAUAAUAAGAGGCGACUUCCUAGUUCCUAGUGUUUGAUUUUCCCUCUGAAUUGAAUUUCAAGUUUAUGAUGAUCCAAAUCAGAUGAAGUGCCAAUGGAGUUUGCACCCAAAAUUCCACAAGUCACAUAUUGGCGUCACAAAUUCUUGAACCUGUCUUUGGCUUAGGCACAAUAAUGAUUUUAGUUAGCUGUUCAAUGUAAUGCAAAAGUUGAGAAACAAUUAACAGAGCAUAGCUUAAACCGGCAAUUAUGCCCUCUUUAUGGUUUUGUUUAUUUAUGUAGUUUUUCACCAGUAGGUAUGAUGAUUGCUUUUUCAACUUCUUGAAGUGUUCUUUGAAAAUUGAGGUUUACUAAUGUUGAUGCAUUGGUAAUGCCUAGGCAGAGAUAAUGGGUAACUUCAACAAGAUCAUACUAGAUAAUUAGAUGCAAUAAAUUAUUGAAUAACAUUCACAUUUCUCAGGAAAUGAUGAUAAAAAUAUAAAGCAUACAAUACCCAACAGUGAUGAUACUACUGGUUUGGUGUUAAAUUAUAAAUCUACUAGUGGUACCUAAGCCAGUGCCCUUGUGGAUAGUUAAUUUUCCAAAAACAAAUCACGAACCUUAUUCUCAAGGUCCUUGCGUGAGUACUUGAUGUAUCUCCCUGGGUAUGUUUCACUCUUGAUAUGGGUCCUAAACUGCUCCAGAAACAAAUCAUAAGCAGGAAUCAAUUUCUCUAAUAUUAACACAUGAAGCUGCCCCCGAAGCUGAGAAUCCUGAACUAACCAUGUGGAUUGAGUCCGACAAACCUCUUCAAAUGUAGAAUUGAAACUCUUGAACCUCUCCUUUAGAGCAUUCUUUGAAAUUCUACUAUAAAACCCAAACUUAAAAUUCAGUCCUUCUUCUCGUAAACUGUAUAGGACCCUGUCCCAGGUUGAUCCAAGAUAGGAUUUUGCUGCCUGCACGACAUCUUCGUUCAACUUAGUUGUAUAAUUCUCUCCAAUCAUCUCUAGCAGUUCCGAAGACCCUCUAAUUUUCUUAACAAUAUAGUUGACAUUAUUCAUAAUGAAUAUUUGGCCCAAAGAUGCUUCUUGGUAGAGUUUAGACUUACCCUCCAGAUUGAAUUUCAAGCUUAUGAUGAUCCAAAUCAGAUGGAGUCCCAGUGGAGUUCUCCGCCCAACUUCCAAGAAUUGCACAUCUUCUAGAAUUCCCAAACUUUUCGAUGGCUUAUAUACAAUAAUUUUAGUCAGCAAUUCCUUGUAAAGCAAAAUGCGAGUAACAUAGUUGUCCAUGGCAUACCUUGUCAAGGAAUGAAUUAUGCCUCUGGGAAGUGGAGUGUUUGAUUGCUCAUUGAGCACAGUAUCCUCAAAGUUUGAAAAAAUUUGGCUCACCAAAUUCGCGAGCCGAUCAACAGUCCUACUUGCCGCAAGAUAAAUAUCUUCUGAUGAGUGGAACAUAUCUUUAAUCUCUGGCAAGAUAACAGACAGAGCAUUAUACAAAUCCAAAAUGUCAAAAAACUUCAGAAGUGAUGCAGGAGUAGUAGUUAUAGCUUCCGCAAAAUUGCUCAACUCAGUUGCAACAUGUUUAACUAUAACUAGAAAACAGUUAUCAUAUGUGACAGCUCCAACACCAUCAAAGAUCUGCUCAUAAUUUCGCUUCUCUGCAGGGAAGAUAACACGAUAGCAACUUUGAGCUGCUCGGAUCCACAACUUGAUCUUUGCUGCAGAUUCUUCCCAGUCUGAACUCCGAAAGUCAUUGAUGCUCCACUUCCCGAUGCCAAAUCUCAAAAACUUUGCAUCCACCACAGAUUUUCUUGAAAUCUUGUACACCUCAAUGCAAUCCCCAAGAGAUCCUGCCGAGUUUAGCCUCUCUGUAAUAUUACGGAGACGAUAAACUUGCUCUGAAGACAGUUCACCAUGGCCUACAUGAUCACCUUCCUGUAACUCAUAGCUACAACUAUUAGUUACUGAACUCGAGUAAAUUGUGGAACUCAGACCUUCAUUUUUAACCAUAGCNNNNNNNNNNNNNNNNNNNNNNNNNNNNNNNNNNNNNNNNNNNNNNNNNNNNNNNNNNNNNNNNNNNNNNNNNNNNNNNNNNNNNNNNNNNNNNNNNNNNUUUUUGCCCUCAGGAUAAAAAGUUAUUGCCCACUUGUACCCACCAGCCAUGAAUGUACCAGAAGCUAAAUAUUCUCCGAUCCCCAAUCUCUUGGUCCGCGAGUAGCCUCUGAAAGUAUAUGUAUGCGAGGAGGUUAUAAUGACCUCGGUGGAGGGCGGGGGC